GGCGGGGUGACGGAGCGGUCUAACGUGGCUGCCUUGAAAGCAGCUAGGCAAUCGCUGAGGUUGCCUCGAGGGUUCGAAUCCCUCCCCCGCCG
This 92-nucleotide transfer RNA is filed under the name Gaiellales bacterium. RNAcentral's name for it is "tRNA-Ser". It matches the Rfam family "tRNA". Rfam says of the family: Transfer RNA (tRNA) molecules are approximately 80 nucleotides in length. Their secondary structure includes four short double-helical elements and three loops (D, anti-codon, and T loops). Further hydrogen bonds mediate the characteristic L-shaped molecular structure. tRNAs have two regions of fundamental functional importance: the anti-codon, which is responsible for specific mRNA codon recognition, and the 3' end, to which the tRNAs corresponding amino acid is attached (by aminoacyl-tRNA synthetases). tRNAs cope with the degeneracy of the genetic code in two manners: having more than one tRNA (with a specific anti-codon) for a particular amino acid; and 'wobble' base-pairing, i.e. permitting non-standard base-pairing at the 3rd anti-codon position. RNAcentral also lists the same sequence under 2 other names. Lineage: Bacteria; Bacillati; Actinomycetota; Thermoleophilia; Gaiellales. The record is from RNAcentral.